AAGAGAAGAAGAAGAAAGUUUUUAUUUUCGUCCCCCGAAAAAUGAUGACCAGCAGUUGCUGCUGGUCGGCAUCUAUUGGUUCGCGUCGGAUGAGAGGGCCAAUAUUGCCCAUCGCCGAUAUGUGGACCUUUGGCAAAAGGAUGGGCGGACUCUGACGGAUUUCAAAGGGAAAAUCCAAAAAUACCAUGUACUAAUCUUCGAACGAUAUCGGGAGAACCAGCCACGGAACAAGGGAGAAAUACAUGGGCGGCUGGUAAAAUUAAAUCUGCCGGUUAAGUCGACUUAACUUCGGCUGGUUGAAGAUGUUACGGAGCGGCAAAAUUCGCGUUUCGGUACCCGCUCAUCUAGGGAAGAAACACCAACCGCAGGGGCCGGAUGUCUUCGUUGCCUCUACUAAUGCUGUUGUUCCAGAUAACUGUAGCUAUAAUUGAAAAAAAAA
Long non-coding RNA from Uranotaenia lowii, 439 nucleotides. RefSeq lists it as uncharacterized. The record is from RefSeq and is a predicted model, not a curated record. The transcript has 3 exons. Lineage: Eukaryota; Metazoa; Arthropoda; Insecta; Diptera; Culicidae.